RNAcentral lists this transfer RNA (68 nucleotides) under Marmota monax (woodchuck). Its description in RNAcentral is "tRNA.Ala". The stretch from base 8 to 63 matches the Rfam family "tRNA", at positions 9 to 63 of the family's 71-position model. Rfam says of the family: Transfer RNA (tRNA) molecules are approximately 80 nucleotides in length. Lineage: Eukaryota; Metazoa; Chordata; Mammalia; Rodentia; Sciuridae. The record is from RNAcentral.
GGGAAGAAGCUCAAGGGUAGAGCACUUGCCUAGCACACAUGAAACCCUGGGUUCAAUCCCCAGUGCCA